ACUCUUUAACAUCAAUUUUACUGUUUUCUAUCUGUUUUUGCUUCUUUUUUAUUUCAAAUUCAUGAGAACAGAGUGAAUUAAAGACAGAUUUUCGAGUUAGGGUUUUGAUGGAUGAAAUUGGGUAUUUUCGGAGAUAAAUUGAAAUCAACAAAACAAAUUCAGUUUCUUCAGUUGCUUCAAUUCUUGUCAGCAUGUUGGCACUGAAGAGCAGUGUUUAAAAAUAAUCCACCAUAACCCACCAUAGUCAAAGUGUAGCGUCAAGAAACAAUAAACAAAAUCCAGUUCUUGUGAUUGUGUUAUUCAGUAGUCUUCUGAUCAGAAGCUUUUGCGAUCCGUUGUGGUUGUUUUUUACUUCUGUUACGGAGUAGCACUUGAACCAGAAGUUAAUGGAUGAUAGGUAACACCUCUAUUGUGCUUCGGUUGGCUGAAGUAUCAAGAUAGUUGGUGAUCUCUUUUUCUGUUGACCAGUCCUUCCGGGGCAGUCUUUCUUGAUUACUCAGAGGUACAAUUUCACUUUCUUUAAAUUUUUAUAUGAGGAUAUUUCAGACUUUUCACAAUACUUAAUGCAAAGUGGCUUUAACCCUGCAAAUGAGUAGACAUGUAUUGGCCAUUUUCUUGCUCUUUGUUCGUCGUGGGUAACCAGUCUAUUUAUGUUCGGUUUGUAAUUUUAUUGACCAACUUUAAGCCUUCGAUCUUUUUCUCUAUUUGAGGUAGCAUGCGUUUUUCUGUGAUUGCUUGUAGAGCAUAGUGAAAAUGCAACUUAGUUCAAAUUGUAAUCCUUACACAUGAUUUCCUUGACUAUAAUAGUGAUUGUCAUUUCAUUAGUUGACUUCUUUUUACAAACUUCUCAUUAAGUAGUGGACCUCCAGGCUCUAGGACAGAUGCAUGAGCAGCGGAGGGAAUUCCCUCAGGGACAUAUGUAAACAGAAAAUCUUAGAUGUUAGAGAUUGUUAGUGUUAGUUAAUAAAGUAUUACUUAAGAACUUAGAAAUUGCUAUUUAGUUGUUUAAAGUACUAGAUUAGCGAAUGAAUUACUUUCAUUGAAUAGCAUGUUCCCUAAAUAAUAUGUUACGUGCACAAAAAUUAGAAUUUGGCAACCGAAAUUUUACUGGAAUAUAGUAAGCAACAUUACUUAUAUAGUCAUGUUAAGGACAUUUUCAAGUAUACAUAAUGUUCUGUAAGUGUUAAAUGGACUCUAUCACAACAUGUGCAUUAGUAGAAGGGGAUUCUUUAUGCUCUGAUCCAUACUGAUUUAAACCUCCGAUCCAUACUUAUUUUGAUCGAAACAUCUGUGACAUCAAACUUAUCCAGUCAAUUUUGAUUACCUGGACAUAUGUUCACUAUCUAUGAAGCCUAUAUAAGUCAUAAUCUAGGUAGUAGGAUUUUUACAUAUUUAUCUUUUCAUUUUUCUAUUAUAAUCAAGCUAAAGAUUUCAACUAUCCAUGUUGCAAUGCCUACAGGUUUUCUUGGUUAGUUUCUGACUUAUUAAGAAGAAUAUAAAUUAAGUUUGGUUAAAGAAAAAACAAGAAAGAAAGAGCAUAAAUUAGUAUUGACACUCAGAAAUUAAAGUAGAGUUGGGGGUCUGUGCUUGGUUCCCGUUAGAUUACUUUUGUGAUUGUAAGAGCUUUUUGAGGUCAGUAUCUUCAAUAGGUUGAUGUUUGCAAUAGAGGGGAUUUAAAUAUCGUGAAAAACACACAUACUGCAAGUGUCAUUUGCUGGUUUGGCUAGCAAAGUUAAGCUUUGCGUGGACUGUCAACAAAUGAAGAAAACCUGUGAUGUUUGUGGCAGAAAGACCCAAAAAAGAAUGCUGAUUUUGAACUCUGUGGAGACUGCCCUUCAACUUUGUAAUGUUGGUGAUCCGACUUGAUUUUGUUUUGUUUGUAAACAACUAAAUGGCCCCUAACAAAAGUUCCUCAUGUAUCUUGUAUGAACUUUUAUUUUUGUGCAAUUUCAUAUUAGAAAAAGGUUUAAAGAAAAAGAAAGUUCAAAUUUUUUGCAAUAUUGGGCACGGGCCAUCACUACCUAGUUGCCUUAGAAGUGAAGGUUCCAAAACUGCGACGUCGGCGCAAUGCGCGUAGCCGCAAGAAAGGGACGGCAACAGGAACUUCAUAGAUAAUUAAGGAGAAGUGAUGUGGAUUAUUAGACAUUUGAUUUGUCCCAUGUCUCUCUUGUAAUUGAAACGGGGAGUUUGAUUUGA
Molecule: long non-coding RNA, 2196 nt
Organism: Nicotiana tabacum (common tobacco)
Lineage: Eukaryota; Viridiplantae; Streptophyta; Magnoliopsida; Solanales; Solanaceae
Source: RefSeq, a predicted model, not a curated record